This 483-nucleotide ribosomal RNA is filed under the name uncultured bacterium. RNAcentral's name for it is "partial 16S ribosomal RNA". It matches the Rfam family "Bacterial small subunit ribosomal RNA", at positions 30 to 507 of the family's 1533-position model. The record is from RNAcentral.
UUGAACGCUGGCGGCAGGCCUAACACCUGCAAGUCGAGCGGAUGAAGGGAGCUUGCUCCUGGAUUCAGCGGCGGACGGGUGAGUAAUGCCUAGGAAUCUGCCUGGUAGUGGGGGAUAACGUCCGGAAACGGGCGCUAAUACCGCAUACGUCCUGAGGGAGAAAGUGGGGGAUCUUCGGACCUCACGCUAUCAGAUGAGCCUAGGUCGGAUUAGCUAGUUGGUGGGGUAAAGGCCUACCAAGGCGACGAUCCGUAACUGGUCUGAGAGGAUGAUCAGUCACACUGGAACUGAGACUCGGUCCAGACUCCUACGGGAGGCAGCAGUGGGGAAUAUUGGACGAUGGGCGAAAGCCUGAUCCAGCCAUGCCGCGUGUGUGAAGAAGGUCUUCGGAUUGUAAAGCACUUUAAGUUGGGAGGAAGUGCAGUAAGUUAAUACCUUGCUGUUUUGACGUUACCAACAGAAUAAGCACCGGCUAACUUCGUG